This 497-nucleotide ribosomal RNA is filed under the name uncultured bacterium. RNAcentral's name for it is "partial 16S ribosomal RNA". It matches the Rfam family "Bacterial small subunit ribosomal RNA", at positions 28 to 507 of the family's 1533-position model. The record is from RNAcentral.
GAUGAACGCUGGCGGCGUGCCUAAUACAUGCAAGUCGAGCGAACGGACGAGAAGCUUGCUUCUCUGAUGUUAGCGGCGGACGGGUGAGUAACACGUGGAUAACCUACCUAUAAGACUGGGAUAACUUCGGGAAACCGUAGCUAAUACCGGAUAAUAUUUUGAACCGCAUGGUUCAAAAGUGAAAGACGGUCUUGCUGUCACUUAUAGAUGGAUCCGCGCUGCAUUAGCUAGUUGGUAAGGUAACGGCUUACCAAGGCAACGAUGCAUAGCCGACCUGAGAGGGUGGUCGGCCACACUGGAACUGCAACACGGUCCUGACUCCUGAGGGAGGCAGCAGUAGGGAAUCUUCCGCAAUGGGCGAGAGCCUGACGGAGCGACGCAGCGUGAGUGAUGAACGUGUUCGGAUCGUAAAAAACUGUUAUGAGGGAAGAACAUAUGUGUAAGUGACUGUGCACAUCUUGACGGUACCUAAUCAGAAAGCCACGGCUAACUACGUG